GGAGAGAGAGACCGAGGGGCCCUCAGCGGGGGUGGGGGACGAGGCCGGCCCGCCGCGGGGCUGAAGGCCGUCCUCCGCCUCACCCAACCCCCGGAGGGCCCCGGGACGCGCCUCCGUGUCCCAGCGGUGCUGCAGUUUUGUUGACUAAAGAAGUAUUUCAGCCGUAAAUAGUUACCGACGGAUCUUGCUGAAAGGCAGCCUGACUAGGGCCUGUUUCCCCGGGUGCGUGGAAAGCAAGAAACUCUCGGUCAGAAGAUGGAAAGACCGAGCCUAGGCUGGGUGCUAAAAAUGUGAAUCUUCUGGCCAUAUUUAAUUGGAGAAAUAAAUAGCAAUCCCGACUGGGAAAGGAAAGUAUGUCAGUAGGGGUUGUGCAGCCUGGCGUUGGAGAGCGCCCACAGUCACACCAGCAUCACCUGCAUGUGUGGGACGAGGACUGACCGAUCCCUCCCCAUGCUCACCCCUCUGCAGGCGCCCACGUCCACGGGGCAUCCUGGCUCAUCUCUUUCUCCAGCAUCUUGGCCUGCAGCUCGAACUUCUGCGCCAGGUUCUGCAAGCUUGAGUCCAGGAUUGUCCUUCCACAGAACAACUGUGUGAUAAGAAGACCUUGGUGAAACAGCACUAAGAAAACUGCUUUGUAGCUGGUAUUUGUUAGCUGCUUUUUCAUUACUCAGUAUCUGUUGCAGUUUUCCUUAUUUAAAAAAAAA
This is a long non-coding RNA of Harpia harpyja (harpy eagle), 704 nucleotides long. RefSeq lists it as uncharacterized. Lineage: Eukaryota; Metazoa; Chordata; Aves; Accipitriformes; Accipitridae. The record is from RefSeq and is a predicted model, not a curated record. The transcript has 3 exons.